This 70-nucleotide ribosomal RNA is filed under the name Campylobacter jejuni. RNAcentral describes it as "partial 16S ribosomal RNA". It matches the Rfam family "Bacterial small subunit ribosomal RNA", at positions 1 to 67 of the family's 1533-position model. The record is from RNAcentral. Lineage: Bacteria; Pseudomonadati; Campylobacterota; Epsilonproteobacteria; Campylobacterales; Campylobacteraceae.
UUUUUUAUGGAGAGUUUGAUCCUGGCUCAGAGUGAACGCUGGCGGCGUGCCUAAUACAUGCAAGUCGAAC